RNAcentral lists this ribosomal RNA (483 nucleotides) under marine sediment bacterium ISA-7266. RNAcentral's name for it is "bacterial SSU rRNA". It matches the Rfam family "Bacterial small subunit ribosomal RNA", at positions 45 to 507 of the family's 1533-position model. The record is from RNAcentral.
UGCCUAAUACAUGCAAGUCGAGCGAACUGCAUUAGAAGCUUGCUUCUAUGACGUUAGCCGGCGGACGGGUGAGUAACACGUGGGCAACCUGCCUGUAAGACUGGGAUAACUUCGGGAAACCGAAGCUAAUACCGGAUAGGAUCUUCUCCUUCAUGGGAGAUGAUUGAAAGAUGGUUUCGGCUAUCACUUACAGAUGGGCCCGCGGUGCAUUAGCUAGUUGGUGAGGUAACGGCUCACCAAGGCAACGAUGCAUAGCCGACCUGAGAGGGUGAUCGGCCACACUGGGACUGAGACACGGCCCAGACUCCUACGGGAGGCAGCAGUAGGGAAUCUUCCGCAAUGGACGAAAGUCUGACGGAGCAACGCCGCGUGAGUGAUGAAGGCUUUCGGGUCGUAAAACUCUGUUGUUAGGGAAGAACAAGUACGAGAGUAACUGCUCGUACCUUGACGGUACCUAACCAGAAAGCCACGGCUAACUACGUG